Non-coding RNA from Glycine max (soybean), 77 nucleotides. The record is from Rfam. NCBI's taxonomy places the organism in Eukaryota, Viridiplantae, Streptophyta, Magnoliopsida, Fabales, Fabaceae.
ACAAGAUAUGAUGAUGUUUAUCCAUCAAUUCUGCAAUUGAAUGAUGAUUACUAACAUGCACUACCAUCUGAUCCCUU